This is a non-coding RNA of Onthophagus taurus, 450 nucleotides long. The record is from RefSeq and is a predicted model, not a curated record. Lineage: Eukaryota; Metazoa; Arthropoda; Insecta; Coleoptera; Scarabaeidae.
CAACGGAAUUAUUCAGUUAUCAAGAUGACUCCCGUUAAGAUUUUAACCGUUUUCUUAUAUUUUUACAUGGUUUUCUUAGCCGUUGUUAUGGCUAGGGAUAUUAAUAAGCGAUCAGUGGAUGUUGAUACUUCAAAUGUAGUGGUUGUUCCUUGCCAAGAUGGUUAUAUUCUUGUGAACGGAGUUUGCAGACCAGAAUUUUAUAAAGUAGCAAGUACGGAUGCUGACAUUUUAAACAUUGUCACUGUUCCUUGCCAAGAUGGAUGGAUUCUUGUAAAUGGAGUUUGCAGACCAGAAUUUAAUAAAGUGUAAUAGGUAAAAAUGGGAAAGGUUCGUUUUAAGUUUUGAAGAUGAUGUUAAUUGAUUAAGAAUAAGAAGAUGAUAUAAUUAUUAAAAUGUAUUUAAAUUGUUAAAGUUGUCAAUAAAUUGGAUAAAAUUGAAUUUAUAAGUUAA